Molecule: ribosomal RNA, 301 nt
Filed under: uncultured bacterium
Lineage: Bacteria
Description: partial 16S ribosomal RNA
Rfam family: Bacterial small subunit ribosomal RNA
Source: RNAcentral
CAGUCGCCGCGGGAAUACGUAGGUGGCAAGCGUUGUCCGGAAUUAUUGGGCGUAAAGGGCUCGCAGGCGGUUUCUUAAGUCUGAUGUGAAAGCCCCCGGCUCAACCGGGGAGGGUCAUUGGAAACUGGGAAACUUGAGUGCAGGAGAGGAGAGUGGAAUUCCACGUGUAGCGGUGAAAUGCGUAGAGAUGUGGAGGAACACCAGUGGCGAAGGCGACUCUCUGGUCUGUAACUGACGCUGAGGAGCGAAAGCGUGGGGAGCGAACAGGAUUAGAUACCCCCGUAGUCCCUGUCUCUUAUAC